Molecule: long non-coding RNA, 7326 nt
Filed under: Sus scrofa (pig)
Lineage: Eukaryota; Metazoa; Chordata; Mammalia; Artiodactyla; Suidae
Description: lncRNA (ENSSSCG00005038826.1)
Rfam family: mir-29 microRNA precursor family (bases 6378-6448)
Source: RNAcentral
GGACAGGGUCCUUCCAGACCCGAGUCCGAGGCCACCGCAGAGCAGCACGAGGCGUGGGAGCCGGGAUCUGGCUGGGGCUCCGUCUUUCUUUUCUGUCCCUAAGGCAAGCCUGAGCCCGGGCUGGGCUCCUCGUGAGCGCUGUUUCUCUCGCAGAGAGAACGUCUUGACCUGACCCUCUAGGACGGGUAGGGUUGCAGACAAGCAGGGGAGACAGCACACCGCCCUCGUCCCUGCCAGGAAGGAGCCCCCGAGCGGCUCUGAUCCUGCAUUUGCAUCAGCACCGCCGCCAGCCCUGCCGACUCCUUCCAGUUGUAGGGACCUUUGACAGACACGUGAGGCGUGAGGGAGAGUGUGUGUGGUGGGGGGUGGGGGGCAGAACAGGAGGCUCCCCGGGCAGGGCCGGAGGUCGUUGGCUGGGAAAAGGCCGGAGAUGGAAGAUGACAGUCUCGGGGCAGGGGGGUCCCUCGCUCUGGCCCCCCCGGCAUUGCGGGUGUGUGUCGAAAUGGGCACACUCUUUAGCGUGACCCGGGGCCAAGAUCAAGCAGCUCAUCACCAAGUGAAGGCUGUAUUAGAUGCAGAAAGUCCACAUCCUCCGUCUCACGCUGCCUGCGGAUUUAGCACCUAAAGGCGGGCCAGGUGGGAAACCUUCCCCUGGGCGCCCCUGUGUGUCACGUCGCGCUUCUUUUCCCUCUUUCGCUCUAUCUCCUUUCUUUUCUGCUCCCCGCUCGCACUCCCUGCGUAGGUACACGGGAGCACUUGUCCUUGGGUUUGUCUGUGUUGUCGUGUCUUGGGGUACAGCUCUUCCAGUGCCUCUGACGUGGCGGAAUGGCUUACUUUCACGUCCGAUGUGAACAGAGCCCAGGCUCGCUGCAGAGGUGAGCCAUCUCUGCGAGGGCGCAGCUCCCCACCUGGUCCUGGGGCGGGUCGUGCAGACCCCUCAGGAGAUGGAACUCGAGGGUGACCUCGCGGGGCCAGCUCGGCGCCCGUCAUGCCUCCUCUCUGGGUGGGGUUGCUCACCCCUCAAUCCCACAGCCCUGUGAGCUGUUUCUUCUUCUCAGCUUGAACCCUGAGAAGUGGCCUUGAACGUCUGAGACCACGCGUCCCCUGCCAGGUGAAGAGGAGGCCGAGAGGGAAGAGAGGGCCUGGGAUGGGGAAGAAGGGAACACGGGCUUCUGGCCGCUGGCCUCUCUCCAAGACAGGUGGACUCUGCGUUCAGAAAGGAGCUCCUUUCAUCUCUCGGCCCUAAAUGGCCGCUCUUUGCGUUUUCUCUCCUUCUCGCUUUCCCUCCUCCCUCUCCCUCGCUCCCUCCCCACCCCCACCCUGGCCUCCAAAAGAAUUUAAUCUGCUGGACAACAAACAAUACUGUUAUAAAACUUUGAAAACAAGAGGGCGAGGCCUCCCUGACAAGGAGAAGGGCAUGCCGGGUAAGAGCCCAGGGAGCCUGCCAGGGGCCGUGCUCCCCGGAGGAUGUGACCCGAGGAGAGGCUCUGCUCCCCUUCCAGAAGGGCUGGGAGAUGUGCCUGUGGCCAGGCACACCUCUGGAAAGACUCCUGGGGACAGAAACCUGCUUCUCCCACCAACAGGUGUGCGGUCCUUUGAGUGGGGCUCCCGGUGGGAUCUUGCACCUGCGAGUGACUCCUGGUGGCGGAAGGAGGGGGUGACCCAGCCCUGCCUGGGAAGAUGGGGAAGCUGGGCUCUGGGCAUCUCUCCUCCAGCGUCCAGAGUUAGACCUCACCUGAGCCUAAAGUGUCACUUCCGAGUCCAGCUUCCGGGGGUCAAGUGGAUGCUUUGAGGGACGGGCAGCAGUGUUGGUGGUUCUCCUUCAGAUCUGCCUUGCUUUGGACCCGUGAACUGCGGUGAGCGCUGUGCGUGUGUGUGCGUGUGUCUGUGCGCCCGUGGUAGACCUGGGCACACUCCCUCUCCCACUUGUGGAAAAGCACCCCCUCCCUGAGAGUAGGUCAGGGCUGUGCCCACCUUCUGCCUGGGUUCAGCCAUGCGUGAGGAGCAGGGAGGCAGCCUGGAUCCUGCCUUCACCCCCUGCCUCUUCCUCCCCUUCGCUGCCACCUCUCCUGCCGCCCUCCCAGGCCCCGCGGCAUCCCCCGGGCAGGGUACGCACGUGCCCCCUCCUGGCCAGCCGGCCAUCCCGACGAGGCCCUCUCUGCCCGUCCUGAGUCUGGGGGGUCGCGAGACCUCCAAACCCAGGUUUUUGCUGGUGGUGCGGAGGAAGGGCCCGAGGGCUCCAUGCUCCUGCCCCGAGAAGAAUCAGGAUUUUGCUGACACGGGGCCUCCGAGGAAGCCGAGGCGGUGGUGACUUUUUGCCCCGUUACCGCGACAGGCAUUUGGGGGUUUCACUGCAUCUGGAGCAUGUCAUCCCCACUUUGGGAUCCGGGGCCUGGGAAGUGUGGCGAUCCCUGGAGGCUGAGCCCCGCUUUGGGGCUGAAAGAGCCAGCUCCCCGUUCCCCCCACCCAGCCCCCUACACACAGAUCGUUCAUUUUAUCACCCUGUCCUCUGAUUCAUUAACCGCAGCUCGUUGGCAGCAGGCCCCACCCUGACAGCUCAGGACAAAGCGUGCAGGGCCCUGGGCUGGGGCUGAGUGAUACGACGCUGGGCCAGGCCUCUCUGUGCAAAGCACAAUGGUCUGGGGCGCACACAAGGGCACACCCCUGGUCCCCUUUUUCAAAAGGACCUUCUCUGGCCCCUUUCUCCCCCAGAUGACUCUUCCUCGCUACCAGGAGCCCCGAAACCAGCAUUCCCAGUGGCAGGAAGAUGGAUGACCAGGCUCCACUUCCCCGGCUCCUCCCCCACUCUGGCUGGAACUUGCGUCAGGCCCGUAAGUCGCUGUGACUCAGCACCCAGCCGGUGGGGAGGGAGGGAGAAGCUGCCGCCUCGCAGGAACCUUCCUGGCGUUCUGGAUUUGAACACACGGUGGUAGCGCAGAACCAGCCAGCAGCAUUCUGUUCUCAGAGGCCAAUAUCUGUUUGUUCUGUGGAUUUGCACACGGAUUUCACAAACAAGGGUUCACUUCCUUCUUGCUUUCCUUCUAUGUUAUUUGGGGGUGGGGGUGGCACCACGCGGGCCAUCGGAUUUUGGGGACUUGAAACGACACAGACAGCGUCGUUUCUAGGCUGCAGGAGAAGCUCUCCUUGCCAUCUAGAUUCGUGUUUAACCCCCAGAUGUUUGGUUUCCUUUUAAAAAUCGUGUCAGACUCUGCAUGCCUUUAGACAAAACAUGGCCCAUCCGGGUCACUUAUUUCUGCUGCACGUUGUUGCUGCUUCUGUGUCUUCAGCUUCCUGCCCGACCCCUCUGUGCAUUUGAACAUGUCGUGACGGGCCUGUGCCAGCCCUGCUCUUUCGGGAUGGACACUCCCAGGCCCGUUCCAGGAAAGCACAGGCCAGUCCCCGGAGCCCGGGCUGAGCAGGAGUCCAGCUUGCUGUGUUCCAACCCCCUGUGCGGGUCAGGGGGACCUUCCCUCCACCCUUGGGUCCCUGCCCAGGCGGAGCAGUGGAAACACCUCCAAAGAAAAUAUGGGCAUAGAAGUAGCCUUGGGUGACACUGUGGCCCCCAGACCCUCUUCCUGCCCAGCGGUAUCUGCAAUGCUGACAAUCCUGCCGGAGGAUCCUGCCCCUGCCUUUGCCAGCAGAGCCCUGGGGGGGCCGGGGCUGCUGCUUCCAGAUCAGGGUGACCCUCGGGGUGGGUGCCAAGAAGAGCAAGCCACUUCCAGCUGCACCUCACCACCUGGCCACAUGCAACUAGGGAACAAAUGCAGCCGCUGGUUUCGGUGAGUCACUGCUCGGCUGACUUGGAGAGAGAAGCCUGGUGCUGUUGGGGGGCUGCGACCGCAGCAGGCCCUUUUAUCCGGGGACUGGAGGGUGGAGGCUUCUGGUCCUAAGAUGCUUCCCCCCACCCCCCUUCUUUUGGAAUGUUUACAGUGAUGCAUUCUUAAUGACUUUUGUCUCUUCUUCCAGAGAACUAGGAGCAUUUUAGAACUCACGAGUAGGGCGCCCAACCUCUGGUUCCUGUCUCUAAGCUCCCUGGGCGCAGCCUCCCCUCUGGACUCAGGGCGGACGCUUCCUGGGUGGCAGGGGAGACGUGACCGGACGACCUCGGUGUGCUCUGAAGGAAAAGCAGCGUCACCAAGAGCCAGCCCAGACCGGGAGCUCUCCCAGGACAGGCUGGCUGGGCGAGCCCUGGAGGCGGCUCCAGGCCACCAGGCUUCCUUGGGGGAGGGGCUGGGGGAGGGCUGGUGUCACGGGAGAGUGGAUGCAGAGCAUCCCAGGACGAGGGAACCGCAUGUGCCAAGGCCUCGCGGUGGAGGAGGAGGCAGUCUGGAUCACCCAGCAACUCCUGGGGCCACAUCUUAGGAUAGGGUUUGUGGGGAGGGGCAGUUGGGCAUUGCCAAGGCAGGCGUUUGGCUGACGUGCCGAGCAGGAAAGCUGGGAGUGACCAAGUGCCGCUCGCCGACCCCCUCGUGUCUAUAGGAGUCAGGCCCUACCGCAAAACAGUCAUUAGCCCUCACUCCUGACCCUCAAGCCUUAGCAGUCACCUGACCCACAACCGCUCCUGCCCUGCUGAUGGCAGGGGUCCUCACUCUGAGCCCUGCAGGCAGUGCCCACCCCCAGCCCCAGUUCUCUUAUCUGUGACCAGGACCUCGCCAAACACCAGGGGCUGCAGAGCUCAGCGUGGACGUCAGGAUCCCUCAGGCGAGCAGCCCCAGCGCUGCAGGGCGCUCAUCCCAGAGGCUUGCCCACUCCUGCAGCCGCGUGGUGGAGACGGCAGAGGCGCCAGAGGUGCAGGAGAAGUACGUAUCAGAGCCCCCGGCCCUGGCAGGACCAGGCGUGCGUCCACCUCCGCGGGGGUUUAACAGGUUGUGCGGUCAGCAGGGUCCCCUUCCACGCAGAGGUAGGUAUGGUCGUGGAUUCCGCCUGCACUCAGUCCUGCUCAAAAUGAAGUUCAGGAGCAGAAUGAGGUGAUAGUCCGGCCACAGAGCAGGCGUCAGUGGGCAGGGGGCAGGAACACAGACUUUGGCCUUAGACCUGGAGCCCCACCGUUCACCAGUCAUGGGACUGUGGGCAGGUUUUUGCACAGUGCUGAGGCUCUGUCCUUCUCCUGCAGAAGUGGGAAUGAGACUUGCUCUGCCAGACUGUUGGGGGGUGUCAGGAGCACAGCUUGGUGUUCAGAUUUUAUUUCCUCCUCUUCCCUAGAGCAGUGCAUGAUGUUAUUUCCAGGAGGCAUAAAAAUACAAGCCUCUCUCUAGAGACCUAGAGAAUUAGGAGGGGAUCUGAGAGAUACAGCUUCUGUGUCUCGUCUUUCUCCUGGUUAUGGAAUCAGGAGCAAAAUGCACACAUAGCUUCUUAACUUCAAACUACUGAAAAAGGUGAUGCAGAUAGGAGGUGGGAAAUCUAAUUUGAACACCAUUUGCAAAUCUUUUAAGACAGAAUUUGAAGACAACACAGAACAAAACCUCAUUUUUUUUGUGUGUGUGUCUUUUUGCCUUUUCUAGGGCCGCACCCGCAGCAUAUGGAGAUUCACAGGCUAGGGGUCUAAUCAGAGCUGUAGCCACCGGCCUACGCCAGAGCUAUAGCAAUGCCAGAUCCAAGCCGUGUCUGUGACCUACACCACAGCUCACGGCAGUGCGGGAUCCUCAACCCACUGAGCAAGGCCGGGGAUCGAACCCGCAACCUCAUGGUUCCUAGUCGGAUCCAUUAACCACUGCGCCACGACGGGAACUCCAAAACCUCAUUCUUACAUUAGAGGGUUUUCUAUGUUAUACAGUGAUAGGACACCAGUUUUUUGUGUCACAGUAGAGUCUAAAUAAGACGGGCAGUUAGUGGGGUCAUAUCGUGGGCGCCGGCUAUGGCCGGGAAGGAUGAGCCCGUGCUCUCCCUGACCAGGGCAUGUGGAAGAGGCGCCUGGGCGCACGUGAAACUCUCCUUAGUGCGGUGGUUGUGGUGCCUUGAAGGCGGAUAACGGUGUUCCUUUCCUGAUGACGUGAGAGAACAUCGGAAAAUGCUUUGUAUUCUGUCAAAUAUCUCCCAAGGCAGAGCAACGCAAGCGUAAAUGUUGACACUGUGUAAUAAUAGCUUUCACUGUUUUAUUUCCUCUCAUGUAAUAAUAACAUAUAGGGACUGGUUGCGGAAUUGACUGAAUUAGCCUAGAGUUCCCGAGUUUUGUAUUGCGAUUGUCUGUCUCUCUGAGUUAUCAGCCAUGACUUUGCUGUUGCCUGCGUACAGCUUUGUAACUCUCCUCCGUGCCUUCACAUGGACCCACAUUUCUGCCCGGUCACGAGUGGAACUGCAAGAAGAUAGUUCUGCUCGAGACAGAGGCUGGGCCUGCCCAUCUCAUCUCCCUUCUUUCUUCAGUGAGACCCUCUUCUUCUGGAAGCUGGUUUCACAUGGUGGCUUAGAUUUUUCCAUCUUUGUAUCUAGCACCAUUUGAAAUCAGUGUUUUAGGAGUAAGAAUUGCAGCACAGCCAAAGGCCAACUGCAGAGGAGCAGCUGUUCUAGGACCAGCUCCCCCCGCCUCCUCCACCUGAGCCGGUUCAAGAAACGAAGAGCCUGAGCAGCACAGCACACGCUCGAGUGGGUCGGGCGGUGCAGGGGGACAGUGCAGGGGUGGGAAUCGUUCAAAGGAAACGCAGGGGCUUGAGCAGGGCCGGGGCUUGCGAAGGGCUUCGUGUGCACAGGUAGCAGCAGCCACCAGCCGUAAGCCGCUGGUCAGACCUGUGCGCGCGUGGGUGGGCCGUGCUGAGCUGGGUGCUCCACAGCCACAGGGACGGGAAGGCUGUGUCCCGGGAGGAUUGUCACGUCGCAGCCGCACUGUCCUCCGGCUCCUAGCUGCCGGGAACCUUCAGCUGCAGGUUCCGCACAGCUGAAAUCGGACCUGCCUCCUGCAGUGCCACGGUGCUGGACCCCACCGAGCCCCGCUGGACCCAUCUCUUACACAGGCUGACCGAUUUCUCCUGGUGUUCAGAGUCUGUUUUUGUCUAGCACCAUUUGAAAUCGGUUAUGAUGUAGGGGGAAAAGCAGCAGCUUCGAGGCCUCAUGCCAAGUCUGGUCAGCGCAGCCUGUGGCUCCUGGAAGAUGGAUGGGCAGAGAGAAGGGAAGGAAGAGCACGCUUUUUCCUACUAACUUCUUUAACUACAUCUACAGGGCUUUGCGCAGGAGUAAUAGAUCAUGGGAUGGCUUUUUGAAAACAAAUCCAUAGUAUACCUGAUGCCCUCAGUUUGCUGAAGGGUGACUGUGCUAUAAACUCUAUAGAUUGGUUGCUGUUGAAUUAUCUGUUAAAUCUGUUCAUGCAUCGUAACCUUAAUAAAUGUCCUACUAUAU